This 474-nucleotide ribosomal RNA is filed under the name Lirceolus hardeni. RNAcentral describes it as "partial 16S ribosomal RNA". It matches the Rfam family "Bacterial large subunit ribosomal RNA", at positions 1835 to 2597 of the family's 2925-position model. Lineage: Eukaryota; Metazoa; Arthropoda; Malacostraca; Isopoda; Asellidae. The record is from RNAcentral.
CUCUUAUAAAAUUUUAAGUAAUCUCUGCCCUAUGAUCUCUAAAUGGCCGCAGUAUAUUGACUGUGCAAAGGUAGCAUAAUCAUUUGUCUCUUAAUUGGGGGCUAGGAUGAAGGAGGCGACGAAAUAUAAUCUUUUGAACUUAAAGGUAAAUUUGACAUAAGAGUUAAAAGGCUCUUAUUUUUCUGGGGGACGAUAAGACCCUAUAAAACUUUAUCUUUACUGGUGUCUACAAGGCAACAGAUUACGAGGGGGAUUUAACUGGGGCGGUUUUUACUUUACCUGUAUUAAUUUUAAUAUAAAAAAUAGAUUUAGAUAACUUAAUUAAAAAUUUAAACAAGUUACUUUAGGGAUAACAGCAUAAUCCCCUUAGAGAGUCCAAAUCGGCAAGGGGGGUUAUGACCUCGAUGUUGAAUUGAGAAAAUUUCUAUUUGGGCAGCCCCGUAGAGAGUUAGUCUGUUCGACUAUUAAAGUCUC